AACGAACGCUGGCGGCAUGCCUAACACAUGCCAGUCGAACGAGACCUUCGGGUCUAGUGGCGCACGGGUGCGUAACGCGUGGGAACCUGCCCUUAGGUUCGGAAUAACUCCCCGAAAUGGGUGCUAAUACCGGAUAAUGUCUUCGGACCCAAGAUUGAUCGCCUUUGGAUGGGCCCGCGUUGGAUUAGCUAGUUGGUAGGGUAAAAGCCUACCAAGGCUACGAUCCAUAGCUGGUCUGAGAGGAUGAUCAGCCACACUGGGACUGAGACACGGCCCAGACUCGUAGGGGAGGGGGCAGUGGGGAAUAUUGGACAAUGGGGGAAAGCCUGAUCCAGCAAUGCCGCGUGAGUGAUGAAGGCCUUAGGGAAGUAAAGCUCUUUUACCCGGGAUGAUAAUGACAGUACCGGGAGAAUAAGCACCGGCUAACUCCGUG
Molecule: ribosomal RNA, 433 nt
Filed under: uncultured bacterium
Lineage: Bacteria
Description: partial 16S ribosomal RNA
Rfam family: Bacterial small subunit ribosomal RNA
Source: RNAcentral